This 257-nucleotide ribosomal RNA is filed under the name uncultured bacterium. RNAcentral's name for it is "partial 16S ribosomal RNA". It matches the Rfam family "Bacterial small subunit ribosomal RNA", at positions 793 to 1055 of the family's 1533-position model. The record is from RNAcentral.
GUCCACGCAGUAAACGAUGGAUACUAACUGUUUGCGAUAGAAUGUAAGUGGUACAGCGAAAGCGUUAAGUAUCCCACCUGGGGAGUACGCCGGCAACGGUGAAACUCAAAGGAAUUGACGGGGGCCCGCACAAGCGGAGGAACAUGUGGUUUAAUUCGAUGAUACGCGAGGAACCUUACCCGGGCUCAAACGCCUCAGUAAUAUAUAUGAAAGUAUAUAGCCGCAAGGACUGAGGCGAGGUGCUGCAUGGUUGUCGU